CGCGGCCUAUCAGCUUGUUGGUGAGGUAAUGGCUCACCAAGGCGACGACGGGUAGCCGGCCUGAGAGGGUGACCGGCCACACUGGGACUGAGACACGGCCCAGACUCCUACGGGAGGCAGCAGUGGGGAAUAUUGCACAAUGGGCGAAAGCCUGAUGCAGCGACGCCGCGUGAGGGAUGACGGCCUUCGGGUUGUAAACCUCUUUCAGUAGGGAAGAAGCGAAAGUGACGGUACCUGCAGAAGAAGCGCCGGCUAACUACGUGCCAGCAGCCGCGGUAAUACGUAGGGCGCAAGCGUUAUCCGGAAUUAUUGGGCGUAAAGAGCUCGUAGGCGGUUUGUCGCGUCUGCCGUGAAAGUCCGGGGCUCAACUCCGGAUCUGCGGUGGGUACGGGCCGAGUAGAGUGAUGUAGGGGAGACUGGAUGUCCUGGAGUA
This 433-nucleotide ribosomal RNA is filed under the name uncultured Agrococcus sp. Its description in RNAcentral is "bacterial SSU rRNA". It matches the Rfam family "Bacterial small subunit ribosomal RNA", at positions 232 to 677 of the family's 1533-position model. The record is from RNAcentral. Lineage: Bacteria; Bacillati; Actinomycetota; Actinomycetes; Micrococcales; Microbacteriaceae.